AAGAGGAAAGAAACGAAUCUCGAACCGAGUCAUUCGACGACACGCUAAAAGCUUCUUAAAAUCGUACAAAGCACCAUUACAGUAAUCGUAAUCGUAGUCGUGGCCGUACGCCGGCAACAGGGACGUGGACUCGUGCGGGGCCGGGCAGGGAAGAUGCCUGGGUCAGGCGAGCUCGUUGCUUUCCGGAAAGUGGUCACGGCAGUCGAGGCAGGCGGCCAGGUCGAGCACCAGAUGAUGAAGGGUGGGAUGCUCGAGGACCUCUGCGUCCGGCAACGGUGGAUGACAACGGGGCCUCUGCUGUCGACCCCUGAACGACCGGUGCAGAUUCAACACCACGUCGCAGAACACGUAGCGCACCAGCAACAGUCGUAGGAAAUCGUCGCCGAAGAAUUGCAACACGCUGGUCUCUGCGUGGACCGGUAAAAGCGCACGGUCAGGUCUAAGAUUCUUUCUCUCUCGGGGUUCUGUUCCAGAUCCAGAGAUAUGGCCGACAAAUUUGCAUAUUACUGUUGCUGCUGUUGUUGCCUGCUACUCGAGAAACCUGUUGUUGUUCGAACUUUCGAACGAAUUAUCGCCAGGCUGGAUAGCCAGCUGGCUGGCCCGAUCGAUUUCGGUGAAACUUUCUGAGGGUGAAGUGAAUUAAACGUAUCCGCGCGAAGCUUUACGACG
Molecule: long non-coding RNA, 669 nt
Organism: Frieseomelitta varia
Lineage: Eukaryota; Metazoa; Arthropoda; Insecta; Hymenoptera; Apidae
Exons: 3
Source: RefSeq, a predicted model, not a curated record